GGGCCAGUCGUCUAGGGAUUCCAUGAGGAGCAUGCUCACGCUCGGACAACCUGGUUAGGACAACACCCUUACACGGUGUGGGUCGUCGGUUCAAAUCCGGCCUGGCCCA
Molecule: transfer RNA, 109 nt
Filed under: Nitrososphaerota archaeon
Lineage: Archaea; Thermoproteati; Nitrososphaerota
Description: Thaumarchaeota archaeon tRNA-Val
Rfam family: tRNA
About the family: Transfer RNA (tRNA) molecules are approximately 80 nucleotides in length. Their secondary structure includes four short double-helical elements and three loops (D, anti-codon, and T loops). Further hydrogen bonds mediate the characteristic L-shaped molecular structure. tRNAs have two regions of fundamental functional importance: the anti-codon, which is responsible for specific mRNA codon recognition, and the 3' end, to which the tRNAs corresponding amino acid is attached (by aminoacyl-tRNA synthetases). tRNAs cope with the degeneracy of the genetic code in two manners: having more than one tRNA (with a specific anti-codon) for a particular amino acid; and 'wobble' base-pairing, i.e. permitting non-standard base-pairing at the 3rd anti-codon position.
Source: RNAcentral